UGGGGAAUAUUGCACAAUGGGCGAAAGCCUGAUGCAGCAACGCCGCGUGAGUGAUGAAGGCCUUCGGGUUGUAAAGCUCUGUCUUUUGGGACGAUAAUGACGGUACCAAAGGAGGAAGCCACGGCUAACUACGUGCCAGCAGCCGCGGUAAUACGUAGGUGGCAAGCGUUGUCCGGAUUUACUGGGCGUAAAGGAUGCGUAGGCGGAUUUUUAAGUGAGAUGUGAAAACCCUAAGCUUAACUUGGGGACUGCAUUUCAUACUGGAAAUCUAGAGUGCGGGAGAGGAGAAUGGAAUUCCUAGUGUAGCGGUGAAAAUGCGUAGAGAUUAGGAAGAACACCAGUGGCGAAGGCGAUUCUCUGGACCGUAACUGACGCUGAGGCAUGAAAGCGUGGGUAGCAAACAGGAUUAGAUACCCUGGUAGUCCACACCGUAAACGAUGAGUACUAGGUGUAGGAGGUAUCGACCCCUUCUGUGCCGCAGUUAACACAAUAAGUACUCCGCCU
This 504-nucleotide ribosomal RNA is filed under the name uncultured bacterium. RNAcentral's name for it is "partial 16S ribosomal RNA". It matches the Rfam family "Bacterial small subunit ribosomal RNA", at positions 355 to 874 of the family's 1533-position model. The record is from RNAcentral.